This 574-nucleotide ribosomal RNA is filed under the name uncultured marine bacterium. Its description in RNAcentral is "bacterial SSU rRNA". It matches the Rfam family "Bacterial small subunit ribosomal RNA", at positions 373 to 969 of the family's 1533-position model. The record is from RNAcentral.
GGCGCAGCUGAUCUAGCCAUGCCGCGUGAGUGAUGAAGGCCCUAGGGUCGUAAGCUCCCUCAAUUGUGAAGAUAAUGACGGUAGCAGUAGAAGAAACCCCGGCUAACUCCGUGCCAGCAGCCGCGGUAAUACGGAGGGGGUUAGCGUUGUUCGGAAUUACUGGGCGUAAAGCGUACGUAGGCGGAUUAAUAAGUUAGAGGUGAAAUCCCAGGGCUCAACCCUGGAACUGCCUUUAAAACCGUUAGUCUUGAGAUCGAGAGAGGUGAGUGGAAUUCCAAGUGUAGAGGUGAAAUUCGUAGAUAUUUGGAGGAACACCAGUGGCGAAGGCGGCUCACUGGCUCGAUACUGACGCUGAGGUACGAAAGUGUGGGGAGCAAACAGGAUUAGAUACCCUGGUAGUCCACACCGUAAACGAUGAAUGCCAGACGUCAGCAAGCAUGCUUGUUGGUGUCACACCUAACGGAUUAAGCAUUCCGCCUGGGGAGUACGGUCGCAAGAUUAAAACUCAAAGGAAUUGACGGGGGCCCGCACAAGCGGUGGAGCAUGUGGUUUAAUUCGACGCAACGCGGAUUAR